CCUACGGGAGGCAGCAGCAAGGAAUAUUGGUCAAUGGAGGCAACUCUGAACCAGCCAUGCCGCGUGCAGGAAGAAGGCCCUAUGGGUCGUAAACUGCUUUUGUACCAGAGAAAACCCGAGUACGUGUACUCGGUUGAUAGUAUGGUAAGAAUAAGCAUCGGCUAACUUCGUGCCAGCAGCCGCGGUAAGACGAAGGAUGCAAGCGUUAUCCGGAUUCAUUGGGUUUAAAGGGUGCGUAGGCGGACUGAUAAGUCAGUGGUGAAAUCUCUCGGCUUAACCGAGAAACUGCCAUUGAUACUGUUAGUCUAGAGUAUAGAUGACGUUGGCGGAAUAUGACAUGUAGUGGUGAAAUACUUAGAUAUGUCAUAGAACACCGAUUGCGAAGGCAGCUAACGAAACUAUAACUGACGCUGAGGCACGAAAGUGCGGGGAUCAAACAGGAUUAGAUACCCUGGUAGUCCGCACCGUAAACGGCGAUUACUCGUUGUUGGCAAUAUGACCGUCAGCGACCAAGCGAAAGCGAUAAGAAUCCACCUGGGGAGUACGCCGGCAACGGUGAAACUCAAAANAGAGUAGAGNGNGAGAGNGCGAGGACGACGACGAGGGAGGAGG
RNAcentral lists this ribosomal RNA (612 nucleotides) under uncultured bacterium. Its description in RNAcentral is "bacterial SSU rRNA". It matches the Rfam family "Bacterial small subunit ribosomal RNA", at positions 338 to 951 of the family's 1533-position model. The record is from RNAcentral.